GUGAAUCAUCAAAUCUUUGAACGCAUAUUGCGCUUUCUGGUAUUCCGGAGAGCAUGCCUGUUUGAGGGUAAUUAAAAGAAAUCUUUAAUCCUUUUUGUGAUUAAGGGAUAUGGGUUUUCCACGUUUAAUUCGUGGUAACCUGAAAUAUAUGAUAGUCUUCAUUUAGUUGAGACGCGUAAUAAUUUUAUUUCGUGAAAAGCUUAAUGAGCUAUCUAGUUUUGUUGACCUUGGUAAGGUUAUUAUAACAAAAAAUAAUUUCGACAUUACAU
This 269-nucleotide unclassified non-coding RNA is filed under the name Ambisporaceae sp. RNAcentral's name for it is "partial contains 5.8S ribosomal RNA and internal transcribed spacer 2". The stretch from base 1 to 71 matches the Rfam family "5.8S ribosomal RNA", at positions 84 to 154 of the family's 154-position model. The record is from RNAcentral. Lineage: Eukaryota; Fungi; Glomeromycota; Glomeromycetes; Archaeosporales; Ambisporaceae.